UACGUAGGGUGCAAGCGUUUGUCCGGAAUUAUUGGGCGUAAAGAGCUUGUAGGCGGUUUGUCGCGUCUGCUGUGAAAUUUCGGGGCUCAACCCCGAACUUGCAGUGGGUACGGGCAGACUAGAGUGUGGUAGGGGAGACUGGAAUUCCUGGUGUAGCGGUGAAAUGCGCAGAUAUCAGGAGGAACACCGGGUGGCGAAGGCGGGUCUCUGGGCAACUACUGACGGCUGAGGAGCGAAAGGCGUGGGGAGCGAACAGG
Molecule: ribosomal RNA, 257 nt
Filed under: uncultured bacterium
Lineage: Bacteria
Description: partial 16S ribosomal RNA
Rfam family: Bacterial small subunit ribosomal RNA
Source: RNAcentral